This 67-nucleotide transfer RNA is filed under the name Stolephorus chinensis (China anchovy). Its description in RNAcentral is "tRNA-Cys". Lineage: Eukaryota; Metazoa; Chordata; Actinopteri; Clupeiformes; Engraulidae. RNAcentral also lists the same sequence under 1 other name. The record is from RNAcentral.
AGCCCCGUGGUGAAAUUCAUGUCGGAUUGCAAAUCCGAAGGAGCGGCUUAAGUGCCUGCCGGGGCUU